RNAcentral lists this ribosomal RNA (253 nucleotides) under uncultured bacterium. RNAcentral describes it as "partial 16S ribosomal RNA". It matches the Rfam family "Bacterial small subunit ribosomal RNA", at positions 524 to 776 of the family's 1533-position model. The record is from RNAcentral.
UACGUAGGGGGCUAGCGUUGUCCGGAAUCAUUGGGCGUAAAGCGCGUGUAGGCGGCCCGGUAAGUCCGCUGUGAAAGUCGGGGGCUCAACCCUCGGAUGCCGGUGGAUACUGUCGGGCUAGAGUGCGGAAGAGGCGAGUGGAAUUCCUGGUGUAGCGGUGAAAUGCGCAGAUAUCAGGAAGAACACCCGUGGCGAAGGCGGCUCUCUGGGACGGUACUGACGCUGAGACGCGAAAGCGUGGGGAGCAAACAGG